AGCGAACGCUGGCGGCAGGCUUAACACAUGCAAGUCGAGCGGGCACUUCGGUGUCAGCGGCAGACGGGUGAGUAACACGUGGGAACGUACCCUUUGGUUCGGAAUAACGCUGGGAAACUAGCGCUAAUACCGGAUACGCCCUUUUGGGGAAAGGCUUGCUGCCGAAGGAUCGGCCCGCGUCUGAUUAGCUAGUUGGUGGGGUAAUGGCCUACCAAGGCGACGAUCAGUAGCUGGUCUGAGAGGAUGAUCAGCCACACUGGGACUGAGACACGGCCCAGACUCCUACGGGAGGUAGCAGUGGGGAAUAUUGGACAAUGGGCGCAAGCCUGAUCCAGCCAUGCCGCGUGAGUGAUGAAGGCCUUAGGGUUGUAAAGCUCUUUUGUCCGGGACGAUAAUGACGGUACCGGAAGAAUAAGCCCCGGCUAACUUCGUG
This 433-nucleotide ribosomal RNA is filed under the name uncultured bacterium. RNAcentral's name for it is "partial 16S ribosomal RNA". It matches the Rfam family "Bacterial small subunit ribosomal RNA", at positions 29 to 507 of the family's 1533-position model. The record is from RNAcentral.